Long non-coding RNA from Dryobates pubescens (Downy woodpecker), 431 nucleotides. RefSeq lists it as uncharacterized. The record is from RefSeq and is a predicted model, not a curated record. Lineage: Eukaryota; Metazoa; Chordata; Aves; Piciformes; Picidae. The transcript has 4 exons.
CAGUGUAAUACACGACACGCUGCUCACCUUCCCGCGGAAUCCAGCCCAUUGUCUCCGCUGCCAACUGGAUCAAAGGAACAUUUGGAAAGACAAAAUUACUGCCCCCAGAAGAGGAUAUGAAACUAAAGAACUUAAGUGUCUGAUGUUAUGAGAUCCAUUGUUUGUUUUAUCUGAUUGCACAAUGCCUCCAGGCAGGUGGUCUGAAUGUACAGAAAGAGGGAGUCCAGCAGCACUCCUGGAACUCUGUUCUGAAAGCAGAUGUUUGGCUACAGUUACUCACUGCAGAGUGCCUGCCUUCAGAAGUAGUGUUUUGUCAGCCUUUGUCUGCAGAGAGUUCUGGUGGAAGUCCUUCAGCUGCAGCACAGAAGCAAGAAAUUUCUGGAGCAAGCAUCAAGAGCUUACACUUACCGAAGGAAAAAUGAAUCAAAUAA